CUCUGGCCCGGGCCUCCCCAGGCUGGCGCGCGCGGUAAAGGCUCAUCCAGCAAAGGCAGGAAGAAGUAGUUUUCCCAGGCUUGGAACGGUUUAGGAGACCGUGUUCCAUAAGAACUCCACGCUCUCCCCGGCAUACGCCCUGGGGUCCCAGCUUAGCUGCAAAGUAAAAGAUGUGCACCAGGAGCGGAGUAGGAGCCAUUCACAAGAGGCAUCAGUUUGGGAGAAGAAGGCCGAAUGAGUCCAAGGAACGUCCUGUACUUCCCACUUGGAGAGAAGGGGGAGCAGAAGCCCCCCCAGGGGCACGAGCCAGGUCAGCUGCUGUCACUGGAGAGACAUGGCCGGGCAGCUGGCAUCACAGGUCUGGCAGAACAGCAGCCGCUAACCCCCAGUUUGUCUCCGUGGCAGUGCUCCUUCGCUCUGUGUAAUGUCUGCCCGUAACCCAUCCACCAUCACUGGCUCCGUUUACCUCCUCUCAUAACCGCAUCUCUCCCCUGUCGGAUGAAAGGCUCACUCCCUUGGAUAGCUGUUAAAAUGGCUUCCUUGUUAAGGGAAUGUGUCUUUGUUUAGCCCUUAUUAUCAAAGGAUAUUUUCCUUGAUGUUCUAAAGUUUCAGGAACACAGUUCGCCACUUCCGUGACAUAACGUGUUCUUGUCCCACUGGUGCACUGCCGUCUGAGUUACGUCGCCCAUGACCUAUUACAUAGCUCCAGAUGGUUGCUUUAAGAUACGAAUCGGGCCGUAUCCCACCCAUCGCUUGGAAAUGUUGUGAUCUUUAGUUGUAUUGCUCUACCCUUUUGCCAACAACUUGUCAGUUUAUUUUGUUUGUUUUUAGUUUUUGAGAGAGGAGAGAUAGCGAGCGCGAGCUCAGGGAGGGGCCAAGGAAGAGAAAGAGAAUCUUAAGCAGGGUCCAUACUCAGCACAGAGCCCGACACGGGGCUCCAUCCCAUGACACUUAGAUUGUGAACUGAGCUGAAACCAAGAGUCAGACACUCAACCGAGUGAGCCCCCCAGGCACCCCAACUUCUCAGAUUAUAGUCUGUCAAUUUGCAGACCAAAUUUUUUUUAUUUAUUUAUUUUUUAUGAAAUUUAUUGGCAAAUUCGUUUCCAUAC
Molecule: long non-coding RNA, 1109 nt
Organism: Prionailurus viverrinus (fishing cat)
Lineage: Eukaryota; Metazoa; Chordata; Mammalia; Carnivora; Felidae
Exons: 3
Source: RefSeq, a predicted model, not a curated record